Molecule: ribosomal RNA, 111 nt
Filed under: Leifsonia naganoensis
Lineage: Bacteria; Bacillati; Actinomycetota; Actinomycetes; Micrococcales; Microbacteriaceae
Description: partial 23S ribosomal RNA
Rfam family: Bacterial large subunit ribosomal RNA
Source: RNAcentral
GGAUCUCCGAAUGGGGAAACCCCGCUGGGCCCUUUGGGUGACCCAGUGACUCCCGCCAGAAUAUAUAGGGCGGGUAGAGGGAACGUGGGGAAGUGAAACAUCUCAGUACCC